CAGUCGCCGCGGUAAUACGGAGGGAGCUAGCGUUAUUCGGAAUUACUGGGCGUAAAGCGCACGUAGGCGGCUUUGUAAGUUAGAGGUGAAAGCCUGGAGCUCAACUCCAGAAUUGCCUUUAAGACUGCAUCGCUUGAAUCCAGGAGAGGUGAGUGGAAUUCCGAGUGUAGAGGUGAAAUUCGUAGAUAUUCGGAAGAACACCAGUGGCGAAGGCGGCUCACUGGACUGGUAUUGACGCUGAGGUGCGAAAUCGUGGGGAGCAAACAGGAUUAGAUACCCCGGUAGUCCCUGUCUCUUAUAC
This 301-nucleotide ribosomal RNA is filed under the name uncultured bacterium. RNAcentral describes it as "partial 16S ribosomal RNA". It matches the Rfam family "Bacterial small subunit ribosomal RNA", at positions 509 to 807 of the family's 1533-position model. The record is from RNAcentral.